Molecule: RNA transcript, 1383 nt
Organism: Humulus lupulus (European hop)
Lineage: Eukaryota; Viridiplantae; Streptophyta; Magnoliopsida; Rosales; Cannabaceae
Exons: 3
Source: RefSeq, a predicted model, not a curated record
GCUUUCAUAAAAUGAACGACAGCUAAAUAACUCAAAAUUAUGUAAAGUAGCUAAACAGAAAUGAAACAAAAGAUGAAAGGUUGCACAUGAGGAUGACACAUAUGUUCAGCAUCUUAAACUUGGUCAUAUAGGAAUACACAGGAUAAACUGAUCUACAAAAGAUGGACCAUUGAAAGAGCUAAGAGUUGGAACUCUUCCGGUUUGUGAGUCUUUUCUAGAAGGCAAAAUAUGAUCAAACGUUUUUUCUCACUGAAAGGCAAUAGAGCUAGACCCAUUUAUAAAAGGAAAAGAAACAUAUGGAUUGAAGCCCAUUUUUAUGCUAACUCUACUUAUUCUUGUACUUCCCACUUCUUCUCCCUAUCUCCCAGCUGCUUUCCCUCCCUAUCAAUCUCCCUCUAUCACACUAGAUCUCUUUGUUUGUCUCACACUUUAUCUCUCUUGAUCACUCUGUUUCUCUCAUAGUUGAUCUCUUUGUCUCUUUCUUUGUACUAGGUGAUGACAACGACAAAUGAAGCUCGACGACGAUGAUAUGGGGGCUCAGCUCUCUCAAUCCACCGCUCCCCAUCUCUUACUAGGUCUCUCUCUUUCUCUCGUUCACUCUUCACUCUUAUGUGCUAUUUUUGUUUUGCAGAUCGUGCUCAUGGUAGUUGUGGUUUGGAUUGGUGGUGGUUCGGGGUGGUGGUGGCAGCAGGCAUUGGCUUAGGGAUGGGGACGACGGAGGAGAGACAGAAGGGGAACAAAGUGAGUUCUUGAUCUGUGAAUAUAGCUAUUACAACAGGGUAUGUCAGAAUCAGCAGUUGCAGUUGGAGCCGCUACUUUAAUUGGAGCACUACUAUCGUUGACGUCUAGGACACUUGGGGUGAAAAAUAACAAACUUGGGAUGUUUUACAAACAAUUGUUAAGCUCGGAAUUACAAGGUAAAAAACAUGAAAAAAUGAAGAAAAAUGUACGCGUGCUGAAAAUAGUCACUAGCCAUGGCCACCAAGAAUUACUAGCCGCGUCCUGAGAGUCAAAAAUUAGUGGCCGCGGCCACCAUAAACUUCUGGGCACGGCCAGAGCACGUAUUUUCCCCAAAACAGUCACGUGACCGCGACCACCAAGAAUAAUUGGUAGCGGCUUGCGAUAUAAUUUGUUCUUAAAUUAUGAUUUUUGGAUGUAAUUUUUAAUGAGGUUAGGGUUAACUUUUAAUAUAGCUUUGGAUUGUGAAUUUUAUAGGCUACAGCAGUAGAGGAAGAGAAAAGACAUUAGCAUCUACAUUCUUCAAUCUAGUUUUUUCUUUCUUCUCAAAACUCAUUUAUUUUCAUUGAAUAUUUAUUUUUGUGAAUAUGAAUAUGAUUAUAGAGUACUUUUCUUUGUAGUUGAGGGUUAUUUCAAAACCCUAAA